RNAcentral lists this long non-coding RNA (315 nucleotides) under Homo sapiens (human). Its description in RNAcentral is "non-protein coding lnc-TMEM26-3:1". The record is from RNAcentral. Lineage: Eukaryota; Metazoa; Chordata; Mammalia; Primates; Hominidae.
UGUGCCUGAAUGAAGACAGAAACAACAGGAUUUCCUACAAGGAGUGUGGAUGACGCAUCUCUCUAUGUAGCCAGAGCUCUUCAAGUGCAGUCUGUCAGGACAAGAAGAGGAUUCUUUGUUCAUUUCAUGAAGUUACUGAUUACUUCCUUUCCUGGCUUCGUGUUAGGUGGCAUUGUAACCAUUACAAUGCAGUAUUUGAGGCCAUGCCCUCAGGAACUUAUAGUAAGGAUCCAAUGGAGCAAGAUUAUAGGUGAGCAAACUGACCUUUUUAAUGGGUCUGUGACUUGAAUCCAGGUCUGUCUGACUCUAAUCUGG